ACAGAUUUCUUAGCCCACAGGAUCUUCUGGAGCCUGGCAGGCCCUGCGCUAAACAGCAAAGCUCAAGUGCAACCUUCAGCGACCAUGGAGGACCCAAAAAAGAGUAGCUCUGGGUGCCAACCAAGGACUCCAGACAUUUCCCAUGCCACAGACAUCGGUCAGAAGCAAAGAGACCAGCUAUGCCAGGAUGGUCCCAGCACCCCAGCCUUCUCUCGCACCCCCCCCAAGACGACGCCCACAAUCAGCCGGAAGCAGUCUUGAGAAUUCGCCGCCCCAAUUCCUUCAAACUGAAGUGUCUAAUUUGCUUUUUAUCAAAAGCAAGAUGUGGGAAUGAUAUUCUUGGGUCCCUGCCCUAGCCACGCCCACUCCCAUAACCUCUGACCCACCCAUCGCCAUCUUGGGACCUCUCUCUCUCUCUUUCUGCUUCCUUGGCGUGCGCACGCGUUUUCUCUCUCUCUCUCUCUCUCUCUCUCUCUCUCUCUCUCUCUCUCUCUCUUCUUUUAUCUCUCCUCUCUCCUUUUAUCUCUUUUCUCUGUCUUUCUUUCUCCCCCUUCCUUAAUAAAUACUUAUGGCUAUUUCCUGUG
Alexandromys fortis (reed vole) is the source of this 584-nucleotide long non-coding RNA. RefSeq lists it as uncharacterized. The record is from RefSeq and is a predicted model, not a curated record. NCBI's taxonomy places the organism in Eukaryota, Metazoa, Chordata, Mammalia, Rodentia, Cricetidae. The transcript has 2 exons.